This is a non-coding RNA of Puma concolor (puma), 309 nucleotides long. Lineage: Eukaryota; Metazoa; Chordata; Mammalia; Carnivora; Felidae. The record is from RefSeq and is a predicted model, not a curated record.
GUGAUAUUAUAGGAGCUGUUGGGAUGGUUGGCCUUAGAUAUGUGACCCCGGAGGAGCAUGAAUAAGAGUGUUAAUACGGGGAUACGUCGUUUUUUAAUUCAACGAACCUUUUCUACAAGACCGUUUGUCACUGUGGGGCAAUUAAGGAAACAAGGCGAGGGUGAUUCCAACAUUUCCAAGCCAGAUUGCGUCUUUUUCCCCUUGCUGUUUUCUUAGUCCAGAUUCCAGCCAAAAGGAAUUACAUUCUUGGAGAUGUUGGAAAAAGAUUCCUGGGACUUCAAAGAUAAUCACUCAAAUAUACAGGGGAGG